CUAACCCUAUCCUCUGCUCGCCAAACCACGGUUCACGACAUAGCCAAAAAGUUGAAGCUCCAGGACAACCAACUUCUGCGAACGGAGAAGAAGUUCAAUGUCUUCAUGGAGAACUACGGGAAGAAGUACUCCACCAGGGAAGAGUAUUUACAGCGUUUGGAGAUUUUCGCCGGAAACAUGCUGAGAGCCCCGGAGAACCAGGCGCUCGACCCCACCGCCAUCCAUGGCGUCACGCAGUUCUCCGAUCUAACCGAGGACGAGUUUCAACGGCACUACACCGGUGUCAAUGGCGGCUUCCCGUGGAACAAUGGCGUCAGAGAUGUGGCACCGCCGUUGAAGGUGGAUGGA
Molecule: unclassified non-coding RNA, 348 nt
Filed under: Phaseolus vulgaris (common bean)
Lineage: Eukaryota; Viridiplantae; Streptophyta; Magnoliopsida; Fabales; Fabaceae
Source: RNAcentral